GACGAACGCUGGCGGCGUGCUUAACACAUGCAAGUCGAACGGAAAGGCCUCUUUCGGGGGGUACUCGAGUGGCGAACGGGUGAGUAAAACGUGAGUAACCUGCCCUUGACUUUGGGAUAACUUCAGGAAACUGGGGCUAAUACAGGAUAGGAGCUCCUGCUGCAUGGUGGGGGUUGGAAAGUUUCGGCGGUUGGGGAUGGACUCGCGGCUUAUCAGCUUGUUGGUGGGGUAGUGGCUUACCAAGGCUUUGACGGGUAGCCGGCCUGAGAGGGUGACCGGCCACAUUGGGACUGAGAUACGGCCCAGACUCCUACGGGGGGCAGCAGUGGGGAAUAUUGCACAAUGGGUGGAAGCCUGAUGCAGCAACGCCGUGUGCGGGAUGACGGCCUUCGGGUUGUAAACCGCUUUCGCUCAUGACGAAGCUUUGUGUGACGGUAGUGGGUAAAGAAGCACCGGCUAACUACGUG
Molecule: ribosomal RNA, 467 nt
Filed under: uncultured bacterium
Lineage: Bacteria
Description: partial 16S ribosomal RNA
Rfam family: Bacterial small subunit ribosomal RNA
Source: RNAcentral